UCCCCGGUGGUCCAGUGGUUAAGACUCCACACUUCCACUGUAGGGGCAUGGGUUCGAUCCCUGGUUGGGGAG
Molecule: transfer RNA, 72 nt
Filed under: Bos taurus (domestic cattle)
Lineage: Eukaryota; Metazoa; Chordata; Mammalia; Artiodactyla; Bovidae
Also listed under: 2 other names
Rfam family: tRNA
About the family: Transfer RNA (tRNA) molecules are approximately 80 nucleotides in length.
Source: Rfam by way of RNAcentral